GGAUGUAGCCRAGUGGAUCAAGGCAGUGGAUUGUGAAUCCACCAUGCGCGA
Molecule: transfer RNA, 51 nt
Filed under: Ibicella lutea
Lineage: Eukaryota; Viridiplantae; Streptophyta; Magnoliopsida; Lamiales; Martyniaceae
Description: partial tRNA-His
Source: RNAcentral